Molecule: long non-coding RNA, 2585 nt
Filed under: Triticum aestivum (bread wheat)
Lineage: Eukaryota; Viridiplantae; Streptophyta; Magnoliopsida; Poales; Poaceae
Description: long non-coding RNA (TAES_LNC024004)
Source: RNAcentral
UCCACACUACGCUCGUGCUGCACUGGCGGUCCCUUCAGGUCCGAGCCCAAGUAGGCGCCGUCGGUCGCGGCGGCCAGGCCGCGCCUCCCCUUCCACAGGUCCCGAGAUCCGCCGACAUCAACCCCGUCGUCCAGCAUCGGGUGCCUAAGAUCGGCACACCUCCUCCCAAUGUGAGUUUCACUUUGAAUUAUUAUUUUUAGCUGGCUGUAGGAUGAAGUGUGUUUGCCAGAAUACAACUCUACUUUGUUCGUGCUGUGACAGUGUUAAGCGAUUUUUGUAUUCAGUAAAAUAGCAUUUUGUUUCAACAAGAGAUGGAUAAAUAGGCCAAUAUAUACUCGCAGGCAGUACAGUUCUGGGAAUACUACUGCUAAUGAAUGUUUAAUCUCUUCUCCACAAACUUGGUUCGUAGAUCUUUUUUCUUUUUUCAGAAUCUUCACAAUUCUGUUUGUCUGAUGUAUACUUGCAGGUAAUGAAAAGGUUCUUUCAAUAUUAGGCUGAUGCUUCAAAUAAGCAUGUCUCUUUUCUAAUCUAUAGUGGAUAUCGUCUAACACUACUUUCCUACUAACAAAUAUUUUCAUAUGGCUGAAAGAAUCAACUGCUUGAGAUUUCAGAAACUGUUCAACUACGUAAUUUUUGGUUACAUCUUUUUCGAUCAGUUUUGGACUUUUAACUCCCUAUUGUAUGCAUGUAUAUUAAUUUCCAGUGCACAAAAUUCAAGGGUUUAACUCUUUUUCUUUGCACUUGCUAGCGUCCCGGACCAGCGCCAUGGCAACGAGCGUAUCCCCCUACCCUGACCUUCAACUUCAAUGGCAGAUCCCACCAUGACUUGGCAGCACCGUUGGUGGAACCAGCGUCCCUAGGUGAGCAAUCAUCCAGAUGGCCGUCACGCUUCCGCCCAGCAGGUACUACUCCCUUCGUCUCAUCUUCUCAUCAGCUAAUUCACAACAUGUAGUUUGUCUGCCUCUUGAUUUCCUGGAUCCAAGAACCCUGCCUUCAUCCCAAAUAAAGAUUGAUAUUCUUUUGGAUCUGGAUCAAGAUGGGUUAUAUUGAUCCCCAUCCCUCCAGUGAAUAUUUCUGUAAGAGAAUUUUAAUUGGGAAGAUUCGUUCUAGGUAGAGGAGUAGAGGCGUUGUUUCCACGGGGCGGUAGUGAGGUGUUGUUGAUUAGAGCACCAUCAGCAGUUCUUGAGCACCAUGGCAAUGCAAAGGUAAUCCGUGUGCCCUGCAUCUUCAAAAGAAUUAUCCGAUGCAGUAUCCCAAAAAGUAGCAUUAUGUAAAGAUCUGAUUCAUCUCAAUAUAACAUGAAAACAUGGAAGAUGAUGGAUUAGACAUGAAAAUCCUAUGAGCAGAGAUAGCACAGUAAUUAACAUUCUGCAUUAGAUUACUUAGUUGAGAGAUAGAACCUGAAGAAAAGUGAAUUAAGCUAGAUACAUAAAAAUUAGGCACUCCCUGUAACUCCAAUACCAAAUAGGUAGUCAGACAUCUCGGCAUUCGACUGUUGGAGAUGAUGAGCUUGAGAAGUGAGAUGGUUCUGUUGAAGUAACGGUGCGUCUGAGCGGUCUGGCCAUUGACCGUUGCAUCCAUAUGUGGGUUGGCUGCUCCUGUACCUCUUCCGCUGUAGCGGCUAAUCGAAAAUUGAAGAUCCUUCUCAAAUUUGAGCUCCAUUUCUUUAAGGUUCCCUAUUUUUUGCACGCUGAUAAUGAGUUUUUUUUUUGGACUGUAUAAUUGAUCUUGAUAUGGUUUAUAGCUUCCUGUUACCACUCUUACCAUCGUCCAAUCAAGUUCAUCCAUGUCAAAAUCUAUCGACUUGGAAUAGAGUAGUGUCGAAGAGAAGGUUUGAUUGUACUAUUUAAUUGCUCAUCAAUUUCAUUGUCUACUUUCUUCAGUUCGAUAACUUCAACCUAAAAAUAAACUGGUGGUCAAUACGAAAUAACACAUCAAUUUUCUUCUGAGGGAUGCCUCACUUUUUAUUUUUCUCAGUAGAUUAGAGUAAUAAGUUGAUGAUCAUUCUCUACUUUGUAUUUGUAUUUUUUUAUGAGAUUGAUCCAAGAAAGAAUGACAUAUGUGCAAUAUGUAUGGGUAAAUAAUAAGUGAAAAAAUGGUUUCGAACUAGGAAACCUAAAACUGUAGGUUUGUAUAGCAAGAUUAUCAUAUUUUAUAAUGUAUUUUGUUUAGCGAAUAUAUAUUCCAAAAUUUCCCAUGUACUGUUUCUGCAGAGAGGGGGAAGGAGCUGAUUGCAGGGCACUAAAAUAUAUCUGGGCUGCCAAAGCUCCAUGAUCGCUUACAUAUGUAUAUUAUCCAUGUAGUCUGGGUUAUCUGGGAUCAAUUACAAGAAGGCACUUGAAUAUUGUUUAUAAAGGUUGCAUAUUUUGUCAAUUUUGUAUACUUCAAUAUCAAUGUGUUGAUUUAUUCAUGCUAUUUUGAUGAGGAUGUCAUCAAUGCCGGUUCAUGGCUAUGCAAGGCAUCAAUGCUUAAUGAUUGGUCAUACGGUGAUGUGUUACUCGGUGGGGCCUUAAUUUGGAGUAGAAGUAGAUACAAUAAGCUCUGAAAACUAGAUUGUUUUUUGCUCAUAACACGAAGGAAAUGGG